RNAcentral lists this long non-coding RNA (441 nucleotides) under Capra hircus (goat). Its description in RNAcentral is "lncRNA (ENSCHIG00000005016.1)". The record is from RNAcentral. Lineage: Eukaryota; Metazoa; Chordata; Mammalia; Artiodactyla; Bovidae.
GUGUGCAAUGAGUGAGGAUAACUCUGGCACCUGGUUGCUGAGAUCACGACAGCCCUGCCCACCAGCGAGAUCGGGCAGCCCUGGAUGUGCGAGUGCCAAGGGGCAAGAGCGCAUCUGGGUCAUCACGCCCCCCACAAGCAGCCAGUCCAGGGCCCGUCUGCGACGCCAGACCCUGCCCGUGGCCAGCCACUUUUCCAGAGGAAAGCACGGCCCCACAGGAGGCCCCACCCGCCCCGUCACAGCUUUGAAGACCCCCGCACAGAAGCCAGGGGCUCAGCGAAGUCCUGUGUGAAUUACUCCUUGAUCAAGUGGAGCAGAGUGAAAGCAGAGCUGCCGUUCCAUUGUUCUCUCUCCAGGCGCAGAAGAAUGUGCUCAGACAGAGUGUCUGGGGAAGCUGACUUCUGUGUCUGUUCCGCCCACCCACUUCCCAGUUUCGAAUGA